This 395-nucleotide ribosomal RNA is filed under the name uncultured bacterium. RNAcentral's name for it is "partial 16S ribosomal RNA". It matches the Rfam family "Bacterial small subunit ribosomal RNA", at positions 338 to 731 of the family's 1533-position model. The record is from RNAcentral.
CCUACGGGUGGCAGCAGUGAGGAAUAUUGGUCAAUGGCCGCAAGGCUGAACCAGCCAAGCCGCGUGAGCGAUGACGGUUCUAUGGAUUGUAAACUCCUUUUGUCAGGGAGCAAAGGGCGCUACGUGUGUCGUUUUGCGAGUCUCUGAAGAAAAAGCAUCGGCUAACUCCGUGCCAGCAGCCGCGGUAAUACGGAGGAUGCGAGCGUUAUCCGGGUUUAUUGGGUUUAAAGGGUGCGCAGGCGGAAGGCAAAGUCGGCGGUAAAAUCUCGGGGCUCAACCCCGUCGUGCCUUUGACACUGGGGGUCUAGAGUGUACGAGAGGUAGGCGGAAUGCGUGGUGUAGCGGUGAAAUGCAUAGAUAUCACGCAGAACACCGAUUGCGAAGGCAGCAUACCG